UCGUCGAUCCCCGGCCUGGCCUCGCCGGCCGCCAGAGGGAGGAGUCCGUCGACGCGUGCUUGAAAGCUUAUUCCCUACCCUAACUGAAAUGCAAGCCGACACCGAUAGUUGACAUCUCUUCUCCCAUGUCGCCUGUUUCUCUCUCGCUCCGUUCCAGAGUGGGCGGCGGAACGCGACGUCACUCGGUCACGGCUUGCUUGCAGACAAUGGAGACCAGACCACCGAAUUCCGAGUCUCCCACUCUCCGCUCGACCCCCUAUAAAUCUCCUUCCCAAGCCAUCCCCGUUCUCUCCAUGCCAAUCUCACCGACACUCGCCUCGCACCGGUUCAGUGGCCGUGCGUCCCCUCUACCCGCCGGAUCUCGCAGCCGGCCGGGUGGGGUGGAUCAUCCACGUCGCGCAGGAGAUCCAUCGCCACACCCCCUUUCCUGAGAGAGCAAGCGCCCGCACAAGAUCGACAGACGACAUGUGGCGGGGUUCGCUGCUGCUGCUGCUGCUGCUGCUGCUUCUGCUCGCGGCGGCCGCGGCCGGUGAACCGGCGUCGACGCUCAUGGGCCCGUCGCAUGAAGACAGGGGCCACGCGAUGAUCCUGCCGGAGACAGGGCCCCCGGUGCAGCGGUGGGCAACGGGUGUUAGUUUUAACCUUUACUAUUUAUGCAUCUGCAUAUGUAUUCUGGCUUUGCACCUAGGUUAGAUGGUGAUUGAGUGAUUUGCCUUGUGGAUGUACCCGAGUAGGAGUUCUGUUUCACUUUCACCAGAGGUGCAAAGCGUGAGUGACAUCAAUCAGGGAGGUUGGCCUGUGUCUGUGUGGUACGUACUUCCAAGGUUGUAAGCAUAUUUGUUUUAACAAGAGGAAAACGUCAUGUGUGCACACACAACAAACACCUUUUUUUUUCUCCGUUCUUGAUAGAGUUGUGUAAAGUACAGAGCUAUACCUGAGAGAUUUGGCUUCAA
Molecule: long non-coding RNA, 953 nt
Organism: Triticum aestivum (bread wheat)
Lineage: Eukaryota; Viridiplantae; Streptophyta; Magnoliopsida; Poales; Poaceae
Exons: 2
Source: RefSeq, a predicted model, not a curated record